RNAcentral lists this unclassified non-coding RNA (188 nucleotides) under Sminthurinus sp. 2 SA-2014. Its description in RNAcentral is "sequence contains ITS2". The record is from RNAcentral. Lineage: Eukaryota; Metazoa; Arthropoda; Collembola; Symphypleona; Katiannidae.
UUGCAAUGAAAAAAAUUUGCCUAAGAAAUUUUGAUACGCUGGCUGUUUGCUCUUGUAAACGGUUGGUUAGAUUUCAAUGCACUUAAGGUAGCAUUACACAUGAUUUGAAAAUUUAUCAAUAUCGUGGUAGCUCCGUGAGUAUACGCAUUAAAAAAACUAAAAUGUAAUUUAUUUUGCAUUAUCAUUUG